Non-coding RNA from Callithrix jacchus (white-tufted-ear marmoset), 425 nucleotides. The record is from Rfam. NCBI's taxonomy places the organism in Eukaryota, Metazoa, Chordata, Mammalia, Primates, Cebidae.
UGUAUUUGACUGACUUGAGUUUCUAAGGCAAAUCACCUUUACAUAAUUAGCUGUAAGUUAGCUUAUCACAUAUCUCUGAAGCAUUUCUUUUUUCUACAUUAAAUUCAGAGUAAUUCCAGAGUUAGAGACAAAAGAUAAGUUUCACAAAAAAAGGAGGUAAGAGCCAACCCCAAUAUGCAUAAAUCUAACUCCUAAUAUAUAUAACUCCUAAUAUAUGUCAAGAUACACACUGCUUGACAUAUAUUGUUAGAAGCACCUCACACUUGUGGGUUCUCUUAAGCAAAAUACUUGCAUUAGGUCUCAGCUGGGGCUGUGCAUCAGGCGGUUUGGGAAAUACUCAGUUCUCAGCAGAAGCCAGAAUUUGAAUUCCCUCAUCUUUUAAGAAUCAUUUACCAGGUUUGGAGAGGAUUUAGGCAGCUCAGGUG